RNAcentral lists this ribosomal RNA (253 nucleotides) under uncultured bacterium. RNAcentral describes it as "partial 16S ribosomal RNA". It matches the Rfam family "Bacterial small subunit ribosomal RNA", at positions 524 to 776 of the family's 1533-position model. The record is from RNAcentral.
UACGGAGGGGACUAGCGUUGUUCGGAAUUACUGGGCGUAAAGCGCACGUAGGCGGCUUUGUAAGUCAGGGGUGAAAUCCCGGGGCUCAACCUCGGAACUGCCUUUGAUACUGCGAAUCUCGAGUCCGGAAGAGGUGAGUGGAAUUCCUAGUGUAGAGGUGAAAUUCGUAGAUAUUGGGAAGAACACCGAUGGCGAAGGCAGCCAUCUGGACCGACACUGACGCUGAGGCGCGAAAGCGUGGGGAGCAAACAGG